This 497-nucleotide ribosomal RNA is filed under the name uncultured bacterium. RNAcentral's name for it is "partial 16S ribosomal RNA". It matches the Rfam family "Bacterial small subunit ribosomal RNA", at positions 28 to 507 of the family's 1533-position model. The record is from RNAcentral.
GAUGAACGCUGGCGGCGUGCCUAAUACAUGCAAGUCGAGCGAACAGACGAGGAGCUUGCUCCUCUGACGUUAGCGGCGGACGGGUGAGUAACACGUGGAUAACCUACCUAUAAGACGGGGAUAACUUCGGGAAACCGGAGCUAAUACCGGAUAAUAUAUUGAACCGCAUGGUUCAAUAGUGAAAGACGGUUUUGCUGUCACUUAUAGAGGGAUCCGCGCCGCAUUAGCUAGUUGGUAAGGUAACGGCUUACCAAGGCAACGAUGCGUAGCCGACCUGAGAGGGUGAUCGGCCACACUGGAACUGGGACACGGUCCAGGCUCCUACGGGAGGCAGCAGUAGGGAAUCUUCCGCAAUGGGCGAAAGCUUGACGGAGCAACGCCGCGUGAGUGAUGAAGGUCUUCGGAUCGUAAAACUCUGUUAUUAGGGAAGAACAAAUGUGUAAGUAACUAUGCACGUCUUGACGGUACCUAAUCAGAAAGCCACGGCUAACUACGUG